RNAcentral lists this ribosomal RNA (160 nucleotides) under uncultured bacterium. Its description in RNAcentral is "partial 16S ribosomal RNA". It matches the Rfam family "Bacterial small subunit ribosomal RNA", at positions 393 to 539 of the family's 1533-position model. The record is from RNAcentral.
CAUGCCGCGUGUGUGAAGAAGGCCUUAGGGUUGUAAAGCACUUUCAGUGGGAGGAAUGCCCAGUGUUAAUAGCGCUGGGAGUUGACGUUACCCACAGAAGAAGCACCGGCUAACUCCGUGCCAGCAACUGCGGUGACUGAGCGGGCUGGCAAGGCGCAUA